GACAGAGAAGAAGCGACAGAGAUGAAGCGAGGGAGGUGACGGAGAUGGAAGCCCGUUGGCUGGGGAAAACCUGUCUAACAGUGGCUUUGCCUCCAUCGCGCUGGCAGACCACACAGCAGACCUUCCCUGAAACACAAAGACAGCGCAAACGGGGAGCUGCUUGGGACUCUCCUAAUCACUCUCUAAACAGAGCCAGGUGCUGUUGCCACAGACAAACUGUCACCAACACUCUGCUCAACACAGCUGCCGUCUAGCCCCAGACACCCGCGGCACCGCAGGCUACCGCAGCAUGACGGGCAGGACGACGACACCUGAAAAACAUGCCAGCUCCGCGUGGGCGCGAUCACAGCAAGUGAUGCAGAAGGCCCAGCGCCGCAGGCAGAGGGGCCGACCCGCCGCGUCCAUCGUGUCCAUCCGGUGCCGUGAACCAAAUUUCCGGUGCAGCUCACACAUGUUGAAUCAGUGACAGAUUUGAAUCUAGCAGUUUAACCCCACCGCCUCGCCGUUCUGCUUCACAGCGUCACAGUAACGCAAUUACAACAACACGUUUGCAGGACAACAACAAUUAGCGCAGGACGACAACUAUUCUAUUCCAUAAAUGCUUCACUUAAUGAUUUCUGCAGAUGUGAAUAAUGUUAACAUCAGUGUGAUGUCACAUUAUGUGGUCGGACUGCAGCUGUGUGAGCAGUCAGAGGUGAAGUUCUGGGGUAUGUGCGUGUUUUCCUGUGUGACUUCAGUGGUUAAAAUGACAGUUCAGACAGAAGAUGAAACACUAAUACAACACAAAAACAAACAUUGUGAGAGCCCUACAUCCACCAUGGCUUAACCAUCAACAUCAAAAGUACCAAAUUCCAGGGCAAUAUUUUUUAUUUAAAUUCAUAUCGUGUAAUCUGUCCCCU
Gasterosteus aculeatus aculeatus (three-spined stickleback) is the source of this 899-nucleotide long non-coding RNA. Lineage: Eukaryota; Metazoa; Chordata; Actinopteri; Perciformes; Gasterosteidae. The record is from Ensembl.